GUGCUCACUUGGGCAGCGCAUAUACUAAAAUUGGAACCACACAGAGAAGAUCAGCAUUGUCCUCUGUGCAAGAAUGACAUGAAAACUCAUGAAGCGUUCCAUAUUAAA
RNAcentral lists this small nuclear RNA (108 nucleotides) under Macaca nemestrina (pig-tailed macaque). The record is from RNAcentral. Lineage: Eukaryota; Metazoa; Chordata; Mammalia; Primates; Cercopithecidae.